Molecule: ribosomal RNA, 371 nt
Filed under: uncultured bacterium
Lineage: Bacteria
Description: partial 16S ribosomal RNA
Rfam family: Bacterial small subunit ribosomal RNA
Source: RNAcentral
CCUACGGGAGGCAGCAGUGAGGAAUAUUGGUCAAUGGGCGAGAGCCUGGACCAGCCAAGUCGCGUGAAGGAUGACGGCCCUACGGGUUGUAAACUUCUUUUGUCAGGGAGCAAUUGGGUCCACGCGUGGGCUUAGCGAGAGUACCUGAAGAAAAAGCAUCGGCUAACUCCGCGCCAGCAGACGCGGUAAUACGGAGGAUGCGAGCGUUAUCCGGAUUUAUUGGGUUUAAAGGCUGCGUGGGCGGAAUAUCAGGUCAACGGUAAAAAUUCGGGGCGAAACCCCGUCGUGCCGUUGAAACUGAUGUUCUUGAGUGGGCGAGAAGUAUGCGGAAUGCGUGGUGUAGCGGUGAAAUGCAUAGAUAUCACGCAGAA